Molecule: ribosomal RNA, 577 nt
Filed under: Lyomyces luteoalbus
Lineage: Eukaryota; Fungi; Basidiomycota; Agaricomycetes; Hymenochaetales; Schizoporaceae
Description: Lyomyces sp. JD-2023d partial small subunit ribosomal RNA
Rfam family: Bacterial small subunit ribosomal RNA
Source: RNAcentral
GAGUGACAGCUACUGAAUCAACGGUGUGCCAUCGUUGAUAAGGUAAGGGAAAAGAAAUGAUGUCACCUUACUAUUAGUGUCGUCCAAGUACUCGUGCCAGAAGACUCGGUAAGGCGAGAGACGCAAACGUUAGUCGUCUUAAUCAGGCGUAAAGGGUUUGUAGGCGGCUUUAAGUAUUUUUUAAACAAUUUUUUUAAAAAUUCAAUUAAAGCUAGAAUCAAAAAGAGGUCACAUAUAAAUAAUACUUGGUGUAAGGUUGGUAUCUUUAAAAACCAAGUAGAAUACUAACGGCGAAGGCUUUUUUCCAAUAAUGAUUGACGCUGAGAAACUAAGGUGAGGAUAGAAAAAAGGAUUAGAGACCCUCGUAUCCCUCACUGUCAACGAUGAAUGGUAGUUACUAGAUAAAUUAUUAUUGUAUUGUAAUUAAAGUAUAUUUAAUAAACACAAUAUCUAGAGACGAUGUUAACACGAAAACCAUUCCGCCUUGUGAGUACGACUGCAAAGUUGAAAACAAAAAAAUUAGUCGGUUUCGGAGCAAACGAAGUGAAGCAUGUUAUUUAAUGANAAAAACCCCGAA